This 265-nucleotide ribosomal RNA is filed under the name uncultured prokaryote. Its description in RNAcentral is "partial 16S ribosomal RNA". It matches the Rfam family "Bacterial small subunit ribosomal RNA", at positions 524 to 788 of the family's 1533-position model. The record is from RNAcentral.
UACGGAGGAUGCGAGCGUUAUCCGGAUUUAUUGGGUUUAAAGGGUGCGUAGGUGGUUCGUUAAGUCUGAUGUGAAAGCCCUGGGCUCAACCUGGGAAUUGCAUUGGAUACUGGCGGGCUAGAGUGCGGUAGAGGGUAGUGGAAUUCCCGGUGUAGCAGUGAAAUGCGUAGAUAUCGGGAGGAACAUCCGUGGCGAAGGCGACUGCCUGGACCAGCACUGACACUGAGGCACGAAAGCGUGGGGAGCAAACAGGAUUAGAUACCCU